GCGUAGGUGGGCAGGUAAGUCAGUGGUGAAAUCUCUGGGCUUAACCCAGAAACUGCCGUUGAUACUAUCUGUCUUGAAUGUAGUGGAGGUGAGCGGAAUAUGUCAUGUAGCGGUGAAAUGCUUAGAUAUGACAUAGAACAUCUAUUGCGAAGGCAGCUCGCUACACUAUUAUUGACACUGAGGCACGAAAGCGUGGGGAUCAAACAGGAUUAGAUACCCUGGUAGUCCACGCCCUAAACGAUGGAUACUCGACAUCAGCGAUACACUGUUGGUGUCUGAGCGAAAGCAUUAAGUAUCCCACCUGGGAAGUACGACCGCAAGGUUGAAACUCAAAGGAAUUGA
This 342-nucleotide ribosomal RNA is filed under the name uncultured bacterium. RNAcentral describes it as "bacterial SSU rRNA". It matches the Rfam family "Bacterial small subunit ribosomal RNA", at positions 569 to 913 of the family's 1533-position model. The record is from RNAcentral.